This 433-nucleotide ribosomal RNA is filed under the name uncultured bacterium. RNAcentral describes it as "partial 16S ribosomal RNA". It matches the Rfam family "Bacterial small subunit ribosomal RNA", at positions 29 to 507 of the family's 1533-position model. The record is from RNAcentral.
AACGAACGCUGGCGGCAUGCCUAACACAUGCAAGUCGAACGAGACCUUCGGGUCUAGUGGCGCACGGGUGCGUAACGCGUGGGAACCUGCCUUUAGGUUCGGAAUAACUCAGAGAAAUUUGAGCUAAUACCGGAUGAUGUCUUCGGACCAAAGAUUUAUCGCCUUUAGAUGGGCCCGCGUUGGAUUAGCUAGUUGGUGGGGUAAAGGCCUACCAAGGCGACGAUCCAUAGCUGGUCUGAGAGGAUGAUCAGCCACACUGGGACUGAGACACGGCCCAGACUCCUACGGGAGGCAGCAGUGGGGAAUAUUGGACAAUGGGCGAAAGCCUGAUCCAGCAAUGCCGCGUGAGUGAUGAAGGCCUUAGGGUUGUAAAGCUCUUUUAACCGAGAUGAUAAUGACAGUAUCGGGAGAAUAAGCGCCGGCUAACUCCGUG